This 28-nucleotide small RNA is filed under the name Bombyx mori (domestic silkworm). Its description in RNAcentral is "ovarian small RNA-27196". The record is from RNAcentral. Lineage: Eukaryota; Metazoa; Arthropoda; Insecta; Lepidoptera; Bombycidae.
UCCCAUAACAAGCAGCGUCCCUUUUCCC